This 459-nucleotide ribosomal RNA is filed under the name uncultured bacterium. Its description in RNAcentral is "partial 16S ribosomal RNA". It matches the Rfam family "Bacterial small subunit ribosomal RNA", at positions 30 to 507 of the family's 1533-position model. The record is from RNAcentral.
AUUGAACGCUGGCGGCAGGCCUAACACAUGCAAGUCGAGCGGACUCUUCGGGGUUGGUCGUGGAUUCGGGGGCAGACGGGUGGGACAUGCCUAUGAGUCUGGCAGGAAGUGGGGGAAAAUGUGCGGAAACCGGAUGUGCUCUCGCGUGGGAACAGUGGGCGCCAUUGGGGGGGCCAAAGUCCUCUUGCCUUUAGAGGGGGGUAAGUGUGCUUAGAUAGUUGGUGGGGUAAAGGCUCACCAAGGCGACGAUCAGUAACUGGUCUGAGAGGAUGAUCCGCCACAUUGGGACUGAGACACGGCCCAAACUCCUACGGGAGGCAGCAGUGGGGAAUCUUGCGCAAUGGGCGAAAGGCUGAAGCAGCCAUGCCGCGUGAAUGAUGAAGGUCUUAGGAUUGUAAAAUUAUUUCACCGGGGACGAUAAUGACGGUACCCGGAGAAGAAGCCCCGGCUAACUUCGUG